AAGAGUACCAAGCGUUACCCCCUAGCUGUCUCCAAGGGGGAAAAAGUUAAAGUGUUUUCAAUCCCUAUAUUUUUUGCAUUCUUUCUUGAACAUUCUCCCUCAGCACAAAAAAACACAAAAAACACAUUCGGAGUCUGUCAGAAGGUGGCAGGGAAAUUAGUCAGGAGUCACAAAGUAACAGUCAGUUCUGGAAAGAGGCGAGAGAAGAGAGAGAUGGGGCAAUGGAGAGGAAAAGAGGGGCGUUGGAUGGAGAGGUGUACUUUUAGUUCCAUGCAUUUAUAUACACACACACACACACAGUGUGGCAGUGGCCGCCUGCCGUGGAGUGGCUUGCAGGGUAAGGCUAAAGUCAGUGGAGCGAAGGAUGAGGUGGAAGGAAGGAGUGAAGGAUUGAGGCGUGAGGGGGUGGUGGUGUAGUGUGGCAUUGCGGGGUGGGGUGAGUGAGGAAAUGUAGCAAAUCUGAAGUGACAUAUUGGGACAUGCUUUGAGUCACCCCGCAAUAAUACACAGAUCUUUCUUUUUUUUUUUAGCCCGUCUGUCUGCUUCGCCCGUCAGGUUUGUUUACAAAAGAUUUUGUUUUCACCCCCACCCUCCUCCCAUACAACUUCCCCCUUCGUUGCUCACUUCACCACCAUUCCUGUGUUCCUUUAAGUUUUCCUUUACCUCAUGCUUUCUGUCUUUUUUUUUUUUUGAAUGCUGACAUUUUUUUUUUUAGUUUCUUUUCAUCCUCAAGCUCGCUGCUCUCAAACACUUCCCCCUGCAUCUCUCACUGCAGACCCCCACCAGGCUACCUCUCUUCCCUUUCUAAUAAUAUCCAUAAUGUGCUCUGAGUGCGUCUUGCUCGCAGCAGCUCGUCAUUUGCUUCUCCGUCCCUCCGAUGCUGCACCAACACCACCCAUCGCUGGUAUGCAGUCUUUCUCACCUCCCUUCCAUCUCCCACUUCCCUUUAUCACAUUUCUCAUUCCCCUCUCGUUCCAUAUGCUCUUUGUCUUAGUGUUAUCUCACCCUUCUCCUUGAUUUCCUCCCCCAUUUCCUCCACCCCUUCUUCUCCUCUCCUUUUCCCUCCCUCCUCUUGUUUCUGGAUGUGGUGCAGACACAGUGUGAACAUGUGAUCCUCUUCCACUCCCCUCCCACUCGUUGCCGUGUCUUGGCUCCUUUCAUCCUCAUCACUCUUCUUCUUCUCUCUGUUUGUCUCCUGUUUGCGUAGGCCACCUCUUUUAGCUUUCACGAGUACGAGGUCCUUAACUCCACGCCCAACUUCUAUCACUCUCUUUCUUUCUCUGUCGUUCUGUCACACACCUCCCCUUCUUGUAUGCCCCCCCCCCUCCUUUUGUUAAUUCAUUUUCCUGUGCAGGCUGUUAUUUUCACAUUCUUACUGUGUCUGCUUUUUUCUCCAAACUCUCCAAGCCUGCCUCGUUAUGUUUCUGCUCGUGCUCAGUCUGUGUCCGUGCAUGUAUCUGCUGAUGUGUGCGUUCCUUUUCAGACGUCUACACGUGCUCAUGUUCCUUGCUCACUUGCCUCCGUGUUUGUCUGCUUCAUACAUAAAGGUUAGCUUUGCAUUAUUGCAGUUUUCUUGCAUCCCACAGACACACACACACACAUGCUUGCACACACUCUCACAUGCACACACAGAGGCAGACGCAAAGAUGAAAGCUUGAGAGAUUUUCUGGAUAAAUUCUCUGUGUUGCCGUGUGAACCUCAUUACUGCACCCAGGUAGAAUAUGAAAGAACCCAGCAGACCCAGAA
Long non-coding RNA from Astatotilapia calliptera (eastern happy), 1746 nucleotides. NCBI's taxonomy places the organism in Eukaryota, Metazoa, Chordata, Actinopteri, Cichliformes, Cichlidae. The record is from Ensembl.